This 232-nucleotide long non-coding RNA is filed under the name Phoenix dactylifera (date palm). Its description in RNAcentral is "long non-coding RNA (PDAC_LNC009625)". Lineage: Eukaryota; Viridiplantae; Streptophyta; Magnoliopsida; Arecales; Arecaceae. The record is from RNAcentral.
AUAAAAUAUAAGAUUAUAUCCGGGUUACUUACAUUUUCCACAAUUCAUAUACACAACUCCAAGUCUAUAAAUAAUACUUUUUCAUCAUAUAAAACGUGAUACAUGAUCCAUAAUAAGAUUAAGACAGGUUACUUACAUUAAUUUGCUCACCAAAUGCCAAUUCUCCAAUACCUAGCAAGAUCAUUAAAUUACAUGUCACUUGCACAUUUAAUUUCUAUUUAUUUAUAAUCUU